GCUCUCCCAGCUCUGCACGGCCGCACCGCCUUCCCCGUACGGCCUUCGUUAAGGGGAGAGAGAGCAAGGCGCCCCCCGGGACCUGGACCGGCCCCGCCGUGGCCCCUCCCGACCUGGGGGCGCGACAGAC
Ochotona curzoniae (black-lipped pika) is the source of this 130-nucleotide small nucleolar RNA. RefSeq annotates it as small nucleolar RNA SNORA64/SNORA10 family. The transcript has a single exon. The record is from RefSeq and is a predicted model, not a curated record. NCBI's taxonomy places the organism in Eukaryota, Metazoa, Chordata, Mammalia, Lagomorpha, Ochotonidae.